UACAAGCUGCGCUGUACGCAUUUUUUAUAAAGUUUUAACCUUUAAGCUGAAAUAGGGAGUUUUACAUUGAGGACGGAAUACCAAGCCUUCAUUACGUAGAGGAAGGUAUGAAAUUCUCUGCAGACACCCACUUGUAGGAGUGUGGUUUAAAACUCUAUAAUCUACGAUGCGGCAAUCGCGGCACAUAC
This 188-nucleotide non-coding RNA is filed under the name Metabacillus harenarius. Its description in RNAcentral is "Bacillus weihaiensis 6S / SsrS RNA". It matches the Rfam family "6S / SsrS RNA". From Rfam's summary of the family: E. coli 6S RNA was the first non coding RNA to be sequenced, but its function was unknown until recently. It consists of 184 nucleotides that fold into an extended hairpin structure with a large single-stranded internal bulge. The 6S RNA specifically associates with RNA polymerase holoenzyme containing the sigma70 specificity factor. The record is from Rfam by way of RNAcentral. Lineage: Bacteria; Bacillati; Bacillota; Bacilli; Caryophanales; Bacillaceae.